CUCAAAUAGUGGGAUUAUAGUUACUAGAAAAUGAUCAUUUCCCCUUCCUUUUCCAAAAACGGCCAACUAUACAACUCCCUCAAUCCAUCCCAUGAUUAACUUUUUCUCUCAACCAUCAACACUAUAAAUAGACCCCAACUCAUCAUUCUCUCAAACACCAUUCAACACAUCACUUUCUCUUCACAAUUGCAUCUCUUUUGUUUAGUACGGCAAGAACUCUUAACCGUAAAGGAGUCCUAAACCUCUGAUCGUGUGGUUGGUCUUGGAAUCUCUAAAAAUCAACAUCGGAAAGGAAAGCACGUAAAGGUACCAAAGAAGGUGGACUAAACGAUGAUUGAAGCUUGCUUGCGAGAACGGGG
Long non-coding RNA from Trifolium pratense (red clover), 359 nucleotides. RefSeq lists it as uncharacterized. NCBI's taxonomy places the organism in Eukaryota, Viridiplantae, Streptophyta, Magnoliopsida, Fabales, Fabaceae. The record is from RefSeq and is a predicted model, not a curated record. The transcript has 2 exons.